AGUGAACGCUGGCGGUAGGCCUAACACAUGCAAGUCGAACGGCAGCACAGUAAGAGCUUGCUCUUACGGGUGGCGAGUGGCGGACGGGUGAGGAAUACAUCGGCAUCUACUUUUUCGUGGGGGAUAACGUAGGGAAACUUACGCUAAUACCGCAUACGACCUACGGGUGAAAGCAGGGGAUCUUCGGACCUUGCGCGAUUGAAUGAGCCGAUGUCGGAUUAGCUAGUUGGCGGGGUAAAGGCCCACCAAGGCGACGAUCCGUAGCUGGUCUGAGAGGAUGAUCAGCCACACUGGAACUGAGACACGGUCCAGACUCCUACGGGAGGCAGCAGUGGGGAAUAUUGGACAAUGGGCGCAAGCCUGAUCCAGCCAUACCGCGUGGGUGAAGAAGGUCUUCGGGUUGUAAAGCCCUUUUGUUGGGAAAGAAAAGCAGUAGAUGAAUACCCCGCUGUUCUGACGGUACCCAAAGAGUAAGCACCGGCUAACUUCGUG
This 492-nucleotide ribosomal RNA is filed under the name uncultured bacterium. RNAcentral describes it as "partial 16S ribosomal RNA". It matches the Rfam family "Bacterial small subunit ribosomal RNA", at positions 29 to 507 of the family's 1533-position model. The record is from RNAcentral.